RNAcentral lists this microRNA precursor (91 nucleotides) under Sus scrofa (pig). RNAcentral's name for it is "mir-345 microRNA precursor family". It matches the Rfam family "mir-345 microRNA precursor family". Lineage: Eukaryota; Metazoa; Chordata; Mammalia; Artiodactyla; Suidae. The record is from Rfam by way of RNAcentral.
CCCCAAACCCAGGUCUGCUGACUCCUAGUCCAGUGCUUGUGAUGGCUGGUGGGCCCUGAACUAGGGGUCUGGAGGCCUGGGUUUGCAUUUC